Molecule: ribosomal RNA, 741 nt
Filed under: Oceanobacillus sp. MMD34
Lineage: Bacteria; Bacillati; Bacillota; Bacilli; Caryophanales; Bacillaceae
Description: bacterial SSU rRNA
Rfam family: Bacterial small subunit ribosomal RNA
Source: RNAcentral
AGCUAUCUGCAGUCGAGCGCAGGAGUUAUCUGAUCCUCUUUUAGAGGUGACGAUAAUGGAAUGAGCGGCGGACGGGUGAGUACACGUAGGCAACCUGCCUGUAAGACUGGGAUACUCGUGGAAACGCGAGCUAAUACCGGAUAACACUUUUCAUCUCCUGAUGAGAAGUUGAAAGGCGGCUUUUGCUGUCACUUACAGAUGGGCCUGCGCGCAGUAGCUAGUUGGUAAGGUAAUGGCUUACCAAGGCGACGAUGCGUAGCCGACCUGAGAGGGUGAUCGGCCACACUGGGACUGAGACACGGCCCAGACGGCAGCAGUAGGGAAUCUUCCGCAAUGGACGAAAGUCUGACGGAGCAACGGAUGAAGGUUUUCGGAUCGUAAAACUCUGUUGUUAGGGAAGAACAAGUGCGAUGGCACCUUGACGGUACCUAACCAGAAAGCCACGGCUAACUACGUGCCAGCAGCCGCGGUAAUACGUAGGUGGCAAGCGUUGUCCGGAAUUAUUGGGCGUAAAGCGCUCGCAGGCGGUUCUCUAAGUCUGAUGUGAAAUCUUACGGCUCAACCGUAAACGUGCAUUGGAAACUGGGGAACUUGAGUGCAGAAAAGGAGAGUGGAAUUCCACGUGUAGCGGUGAAAUGCGUAGAGAUGUGGAGGAACACCAGUGGCGAAAGCGACUCUCUGGUCUGUAACUGACGCUCAGGAGCGAAAGCGUGGGGAGCGAACAGGAUUAGAUACCCUGGU